RNAcentral lists this ribosomal RNA (465 nucleotides) under uncultured bacterium. RNAcentral describes it as "bacterial SSU rRNA". It matches the Rfam family "Bacterial small subunit ribosomal RNA", at positions 338 to 795 of the family's 1533-position model. The record is from RNAcentral.
CCUACGGGGGGCAGCAGUAGGGAAUCUUCCGCAAUGGACGCAAGUCUGACGGAGCAACGCCGCGUGCGCGAUGAAGGCCUUCGGGUCGUAAAGCUCUGUUGUCAGGGAAGAACAAGUACCGGAGUAACUGCCGGUACCUUGACGGUACCUGACCAGAAAGCCACGGCUAACUACGUGCCAGCAGCCGCGGUAAUACGUAGGUGGCAAGCGUUGUCCGGAAUUAUUGGGCGUAAAGCGCGCGCAGGCGGUCCCUUAAGUCUGAUGUGAAAGCCCCCGGCUUAACCGGGGAGGGUCAGUGGAAUCGGGGGGAUUUGAGUGCAGAAGAGAACAGCGAAUUUCCUCGUGUAGCGGUUAAAUGCGUAGUGAUGUGGAAGAACACCAGUGGCGAAGGCGGCUCUUUGGUCUGUAAAUGACGCUGGGGCGCGAACGCGUGGGGAGCAAACAGGAUUAGAUACCCUUGUAGUC